This 548-nucleotide ribosomal RNA is filed under the name uncultured bacterium. RNAcentral describes it as "bacterial SSU rRNA". It matches the Rfam family "Bacterial small subunit ribosomal RNA", at positions 355 to 895 of the family's 1533-position model. The record is from RNAcentral.
UAGGGAAUCUUCGGCAAUGGACGGAAGUCUGACCGAGCAACGCCGCGUGAGUGAAGAAGGUUUUCGGAUCGUAAAGCUCUGUUGUAAGAGAAGAACGAGUGUGAGAGUGGAAAGUUCACACUGUGACGGUAUCUUACCAGAAAGGGACGGCUAACUACGUGCCAGCAGCCGCGGUAAUACGUAGGUCCCGAGCGUUGUCCGGAUUUAUUGGGCGUAAAGCGAGCGCAGGCGGUUAGAUAAGUCUGAAGUUAAAGGCUGUGGCUUAACCAUAGUACGCUUUGGAAACUGUUUAACUUGAGUGCAAGAGGGGAGAGUGGAAUUCCAUGUGUAGCGGUGAAAUGCGUAGAUAUAUGGAGGAACACCGGUGGCGAAAGCGGCUCCCUGGCUUGUAACUGACGCUGAGGCUCGAAAGCGUGGGGAGCAAACAGGAUUAGAUACCCUGGUAGUCCACGCCGUAACGAUGAGUGCUAGGUGUUAGACCCUUUCCGGGGUUUAGUGCCGCAGCUAACGCAUUAAGCACUCCGCCUGGGGAGUACGACCGCAAGGUU